Molecule: ribosomal RNA, 253 nt
Filed under: uncultured bacterium
Lineage: Bacteria
Description: partial 16S ribosomal RNA
Rfam family: Bacterial small subunit ribosomal RNA
Source: RNAcentral
UACAGAGGGGGCAAGCGUUGUUCGGAAUUACUGGGCGUAAAGGGCGCGUAGGCGGCCUGUUAAGUCGAACGUGAAAUCCCUCGGCUUAACCGGGGAACUGCGUCUGAUACUGGAUGGCUUGAGUUCGGGAGAGGGAUGCGGAAUUCCAGGUGUAGCGGUGAAAUGCGUAGAUAUCUGGAGGAACACCGGUGGCGAAGGCGGCAUCCUGGACCGACACUGACGCUGAGGAGCGAAAGCCAGGGGAGCAAACGGG